This 395-nucleotide ribosomal RNA is filed under the name uncultured bacterium. Its description in RNAcentral is "partial 16S ribosomal RNA". It matches the Rfam family "Bacterial small subunit ribosomal RNA", at positions 523 to 918 of the family's 1533-position model. The record is from RNAcentral.
AUACGUAGGGUGCAGGCGUUAAUCGGAAUUACUGGGCGUAAAGCGUGCGCAGGCGGUUUUGUAAGACAGUGGUGAAAUCCCCGGGCUCAACCUGGGAACUGCCAUUGUGACUGCAAGGCUGGAGUGCGGCAGAGGGGGAUGGAAUUCCGCGUGUAGCAGUGAAAUGCGUAGAUAUGCGGAGGAACACCGAUGGCGAAGGCAAUCCCCUGGGCCUGCACUGACGCUCAUGCACGAAAGCGUGGGGAGCAAACAGGAUUAGAUACCCUGGUAGUCCACGCCCUAAACGAUGUCAACUGGUUGUUGGGGAUUUAUUUUCUCAGUAACGAAGCUAACGCGUGAAGUUGACCGCCUGGGGAGUACGGCCGCAAGGUUAAAACUUAAAGGAAUUGACGGGG